UGGGGAAUAUUGGACAAUGGGCGCAAGCCUGAUCCAGCCAUGCCGCGUGAGUGAUGAAGGCCCUAGGGUUGUAAAGCUCUUUCACCGGUGAAGAUAAUGACGGUAACCGGAGAAGAAGCCCCGGCUAACUUCGUGCCAGCAGCCGCGGUAAUACGAAGGGGGCUAGCGUUGUUCGGAUUUACUGGGCGUAAAGCGCACGUAGGCGGACUUUUAAGUCAGGGGUGAAAUCCCGGGGCUCAACCCCGGAACUGCCUUUGAUACUGGAAGUCUUGAGUAUGGUAGAGGGGAGUGGAAUUCCGAGUGUAGAGGGGAAAUUCGUAGAUAUUCGGAGGAACACCAGUGGCGAAGGCGGCUCACUGGACCAUUACUGACGCUGAGGUGCGAAAGCGUGGGGAGCAAACAGG
This 404-nucleotide ribosomal RNA is filed under the name Actinomycetes bacterium. Its description in RNAcentral is "Actinobacteria bacterium partial 16S ribosomal RNA". It matches the Rfam family "Bacterial small subunit ribosomal RNA", at positions 355 to 776 of the family's 1533-position model. Lineage: Bacteria; Bacillati; Actinomycetota; Actinomycetes. The record is from RNAcentral.